UACAGAGGGUGCGAGCGUUGUCCGGAAUCACUGGGCGUAAAGGGCGCGUAGGUGGCAGGGUAAGCGUGCGGUGAAAGCCCGGAGCUCAACUCCGGGUCGGCCGUGCGAACUGCUUUGCUCGAGCACUGUAGAGGCAGGUGGAAUUCCGGGUGUAGCGGUGGAAUGCGUAGAGAUCCGGAAGAACACCGGUGGCGAAGGCGGCCUGCUGGGCAGUUGCUGACACUGAGGCGCGACAGCGUGGGGAGCAAACAGG
Molecule: ribosomal RNA, 253 nt
Filed under: uncultured bacterium
Lineage: Bacteria
Description: partial 16S ribosomal RNA
Rfam family: Bacterial small subunit ribosomal RNA
Source: RNAcentral